GGUUAAGCGACUAAGCGUACACGGUGGAUGCCCUGGCAGUCAGAGGCGAUGAAGGACGUGCUAAUCUGCGAAAAGCGCCGGCGAGGUGAUAUGAACCUUUGACCCGGCGAUGUCCGAAUGGGGAAACCCAGUGCAAUCCGUUGCACUAUCGUUAACUGAAUACAUAGGUUAACGAGGCGAACCGGGGGAACUGAAACAUCUAAGUACCCCGAGGAAAAGAAAUCAACCGAGAUUCCCCCAGUAGCGGCGAGCGAACGGGGAGCAGCCCGGAGUCUGAAUCAGCUUGUGUGUUAGUGGAACGGUCUGGAAAGUCCGACGGUACAGGGUGAUAGUCCCGUACACGAAAGCACACUUGCUGUGAACUCGAAGAGUAGGGCGGGACACGUGGUAUCCUGUCUGAAUAUGGGGGGACCAUCCUCCAAGGCUAAAUACUCCUGACUGACCGAUAGUGAACCAGUACCGUGAGGGAAAGGCGAAAAGAACCCCGGCGAGGGGAGUGAAAAAGAACCUGAAACCGUGUACGUACAAGCAGUGGGAGCCUCUUUAUGGGGUGACUGCGUACCUUUUGUAUAAUGGGUCAGCGACUUAUAUUCUGUAGCAAGGUUAACCGUAUAGGGGAGCCGAAGGGAAACCGAGUCUUAACUGGGCGUUAAGUUGCAGGGUAUAGACCCGAAACCCGGUGAUCUAGCCAUGGGCAGGUUGAAGGUUGGGUAACACUAACUGGAGGACCGAACCGACUAAUGUUGAAAAAUUAGCGGAUGACCUGUGGCUGGGGGUGAAAGGCCAAUCAAACCGGGAGAUAGCUGGUUCUCCCCGAAAGCUAUUUAGGUAGCGCCUCGUGAACUCAUCUUCGGGGGUAGAGCACUGUUUCGGCUAGGGGGCCAUCCCGGCUUACCAACCCGAUGCAAACUACGAAUACCGAAGAAUGUUAUCACGGGAGACACACGGCGGGUGCUAACGUCCGUCGUGAAGAGGGAAACAACCCAGACCGCCAGCUAAGGUCCCAAAGUCAUGGUUAAGUGGGAAACGAUGUGGGAAGGCACAGACAGCCAGGAUGUUGGCUUAGAAGCAGCCAUCAUUUAAAGAAAGCGUAAUAGCUCACUGGUCGAGUCGGCCUGCGCGGAAGAUGUAACGGGGCUAAACCAUGCACCGAAGCUGCGGCAGCGACACUAUGUGUUGUUGGGUAGGGGAGCGUUCUGUAAGCCGUUGAAGGUGUCCUGUGAGGGGUGCUGGAGGUAUCAGAAGUGCGAAUGCUGACAUAAGUAACGAUAAAGCGGGUGAAAAGCCCGCUCGCCGGAAGACCAAGGGUUCCUGUCCAACGUUAAUCGGGGCAGGGUGAGUCGACCCCUAAGGCGAGGCCGAAAGGCGUAGUCGAUGGGAAACAGGUUAAUAUUCCUGUACUUGGUGUUACUGCGAAGGGGGGACGGAGAAGGCUAUGUCAGCCGGGCGACGGUUGUCCCGGUUUAAGCAUGUAGGCGGAGGUUCCAGGUAAAUCCGGUACCUUAUUAACGCUGAGGUGUGAUGACGAGGCACUACGGUGCUGAAGUGAUAAAUGCCCUGCUUCCAGGAAAAGCCUCUAAGCAUCAGGUAACACGAAAUCGUACCCCAAACCGACACAGGUGGUCAGGUAGAGAAUACCAAGGCGCUUGAGAGAACUCGGGUGAAGGAACUAGGCAAAAUGGUGCCGUAACUUCGGGAGAAGGCACGCUGAUAUGUAGGUGAAGUCCCUGCGGACGGAGCUGAAAUCAGUCGAAGAUACCAGCUGGCUGCAACUGUUUAUUAAAAACACAGCACUGUGCAAACACGAAAGUGGACGUAUACGGUGUGACGCCUGCCCGGUGCCGGAAGGUUAAUUGAUGGGGUUAGCGGCAACGCGAAGCUCUUGAUCGAAGCCCCGGUAAACGGCGGCCGUAACUAUAACGGUCCUAAGGUAGCGAAAUUCCUUGUCGGGUAAGUUCCGACCUGCACGAAUGGCGUAAUGAUGGCCAGGCUGUCUCCACCCGAGACUCAGUGAAAUUGAACUCGCUGUGAAGAUGCAGUGUACCCGCGGCAAGACGGAAAGACCCCGUGAACCUUUACUAUAGCUUGACACUGAACACUGGUCCUUGAUGUGUAGGAUAGGUGGGAGGCUUUGAAGCGUGGACGCCAGUCUGCGUGGAGCCAACCUUGAAAUACCACCCUUUAAUGGCUGGUGUUCUAACGUAGACCCGUAAUCCGGGUUGCGGACAGUGUCUGGUGGGUAGUUUGACUGGGGCGGUCUCCUCCCAAAGAGUAACGGAGGAGCACGAAGGUUGGCUAAUCCUGGUCGGACAUCAGGAGGUUAGUGCAAUGGCAUAAGCCAGCUUGACUGCGAGCGUGACGGCGCGAGCAGGUGCGAAAGCAGGUCAUAGUGAUCCGGUGGUUCUGAAUGGAAGGGCCAUCGCUCAACGGAUAAAAGGUACUCCGGGGAUAACAGGCUGAUACCGCCCAAGAGUUCAUAUCGACGGCGGUGUUUGGCACCUCGAUGUCGGCUCAUCACAUCCUGGGGCUGAAGUAGGUCCCAAGGGUAUGGCUGUUCGCCAUUUAAAGUGGUACGCGAGCUGGGUUUAGAACGUCGUGAGACAGUUCGGUCCCUAUCUGCCGUGGGCGCUGGAGAAUUGAGGGGGGCUGCUCCUAGUACGAGAGGACCGGAGUGGACGCAUCACUGGUGUUCGGGUUGUCAUGCCAAUGGCACUGCCCGGUAGCUAAAUGCGGAAGAGAUAAGUGCUGAAAGCAUCUAAGCACGAAACUUGCCCCGAGAUGAGUUCUCCCUGAGACUUUAAGUCUCCUGAAGGAACGUUGAAGACGACGACGUUGAUAGGUCGGGUGUGUAAGCGCAGCGAUGCGUUGAGCUAACCGAUACUAAUGAACCGUGAGGCUUAACCUU
RNAcentral lists this ribosomal RNA (2905 nucleotides) under Enterobacter hormaechei. RNAcentral's name for it is "23S ribosomal RNA". It matches the Rfam family "Bacterial large subunit ribosomal RNA". RNAcentral also lists the same sequence under 1 other name. The record is from RNAcentral. Lineage: Bacteria; Pseudomonadati; Pseudomonadota; Gammaproteobacteria; Enterobacterales; Enterobacteriaceae.